CCAGGCCAGAUACAAGAAAUCAGUUGCAUUCGGGCUUUCUAAAAAGAACCAGUGGCGACGAGCAGCGACUAAGUCAGCCAAGAAGCACAACGCGGCAAAUUAAUAGCAAACAAUUCGGCGAUUUGAAAAAAAGAGAAAAAAAUCCAAAAUUCUUAGUUAGAUUUACGACCUCAAAAAUAAUUAACGUCACUCCUCAAUAUGAUUACAAAAACACCCGAUUAUAUGAUAUCCGAAUGCGGCUAUCCCGAAUUAUGGCCAGGCGAUGUCAAGCAUUUACCCCUAACCAAAAUGAAUAGUAAAUUUUGGAAUUCCUAUACAUCAUGGUGCAAUGGCAAAACAGCAACAGCAAAAUUUAACAAACUAUUACCCCUAAGAGAGUCAUGGACCGAUUAUUAUACAAAGAAUCUCAUAAAACAAAACGAAGAAUCCAACAACAACAUCCACAAAUACAAUCGCCUUGCCUCAGUACAAAAACAACAAAAGAAUCAUUAUAACGAAGUAUUGGUGGUAUCCACCAGAAAUAAAAGCUUUCAUUGUAAGAGCCUUAGACACAACUUGGAUGCCGAGCAUAUCGUGACAAUGGAAUCACAGCGUCGAUCUCGAACAAAAAAUCUAGAUAAUGAUGUAGAUCAAUUUUGAGUGUUAAGUGUUAGAAUACGCAUUUGUGCAAUUAUUUAUAAAGAAAAUGUUAAGCGAAGAGAAACGAUGAUGAUGAUGUGGAGAUGUUAUGUUUUUAAUGUUAAUUUAAAUAAAAUAAUAUAUGAAUCCAAAA
Molecule: long non-coding RNA, 772 nt
Organism: Musca domestica (house fly)
Lineage: Eukaryota; Metazoa; Arthropoda; Insecta; Diptera; Muscidae
Exons: 3
Source: RefSeq, a predicted model, not a curated record